GUAGGUGGCAAGCGUUGUCCGGAAUUAUUGGGCGUAAAGCGCGCGCAGGCGGUUCUUUAAGUCUGAUGUGAAAGCCCACGGCUCAACCGUGGAGGGUCAUUGGAAACUGGAGAACUUGAGUACAGAAGAGGAAAGCGGAAUUCCACGUGUAGCGGUGAAAUGCGUAGAGAUGUGGAGGAACACCAGUGGCGAAGGCGGCUUUCUGGUCUGUAACUGACGCUGAGGCGCGAAAGCGUGGGGUGCAAACAGGAUUAGAUACCCUGGUAGUCCACGCCGUAAACGAUGAGUGCUAAGUGUUAGGGGGGUUUCCGCCCCCCUUAGUGCUGCAGCUAACGCAUUAAGCACUCCGCCUGGAGUACGGCCGCAAGGCUG
This 372-nucleotide ribosomal RNA is filed under the name uncultured organism. RNAcentral describes it as "partial 16S ribosomal RNA". It matches the Rfam family "Bacterial small subunit ribosomal RNA", at positions 527 to 896 of the family's 1533-position model. The record is from RNAcentral.